This 537-nucleotide ribosomal RNA is filed under the name Steindachneria argentea (luminous hake). RNAcentral's name for it is "partial 16S ribosomal RNA". It matches the Rfam family "Bacterial large subunit ribosomal RNA", at positions 1846 to 2586 of the family's 2925-position model. The record is from RNAcentral. Lineage: Eukaryota; Metazoa; Chordata; Actinopteri; Gadiformes; Steindachneriidae.
UGAGAGGUCCAGCCUGCCCUGUGACAUAGUUUAACGGCUGCGGUAUUUUGACCGUGCAAAGGUAGCGUAAUCACUUGUCUUUUAAAUGGAGACCUGUAUGAAUGGCAUCACGAGGGCUUAGCUGUCUCCCCUCUCCAGUCAAUGAACUUGACCUCCCCGUGCAGAGGCGGGGAUUAGUACAUAAGACGAGAAGACCCUGUGGAGCUUUAGAUCUAGAAUAAACCAUGUAAAACAAGCUGUAAUACCAGCAUAAACCAAUUGGUACCUAUUCAAAUGUCUUUGGUUGGGGCAACCGCGGAGAAAAAUUUAACCUCCAUGUGGACCGGGGGUACUACCCCUAGAACUCAGAACCACCAUUCCAAGAAACAGAACUUCUGACCCUUUGAUCCGGUAUAACCGCUCAACGAACCGAGUUACCCCAGGGAUAACAGCGCAAUCCCCUCUUAGAGACCCUAUCAACGAGGGGGUUUACGACCUCGAUGUUGGAUCAGGACAUCCUAAUGGUGCAACCGCUAUUAAGGGUUCGUUUGUUCAACG